RNAcentral lists this ribosomal RNA (397 nucleotides) under Anaplasma phagocytophilum. Its description in RNAcentral is "bacterial SSU rRNA". It matches the Rfam family "Bacterial small subunit ribosomal RNA", at positions 1003 to 1405 of the family's 1533-position model. Lineage: Bacteria; Pseudomonadati; Pseudomonadota; Alphaproteobacteria; Rickettsiales; Anaplasmataceae. The record is from RNAcentral.
GAAGGGCGCAGUUCGGCUGGAUCUCGCACAGGUGCUGCAUGGCUGUCGUCAGCUCGUGUCGUGAGAUGUUGGGUUAAGUCCCGCAACGAGCGUAACCCUCAUCCUUAGUUGCCAGCGGGUAAGCCGGGCACUUUAAGGAAACUGCCGGUGGUAAACCGGAGGAAGGUGGGGAUGAUGUCAAGUCAGCACGGCCCUUAUGGGGUGGGCUACACACGUGCUACAAUGGUGACUACAAUAGGUUGCAAUGUCGCAAGGCUGAGCUAAUCCGUAAAAGUCAUCUCAGUUCGGAUUGUCCUCUGCAACUCGAGGGCAUGAAGUCGGAAUCGCUAGUAAUCGUGGAUCAGCAUGCCACGGUGAAUACGUUCUCGGGUCUUGUACACACUGCCCGUCACGCCAU